UCUUUGCUUCUCCUUGCAUCUUUCUGUUUUGUCAUUUAUUUUCAAAACGAGAGAGAGAGAAAGCAUGAAUGAUGUGCCAAGCGUUGCUCUAGUUUCUGGGAAGGAAAGAGUAGAAAAAAUAAUCACAGUCUUGGUUCUUAUGCAACUUCAACUCUUAACAGCAAAAGUAGACAUCUUACAAAUUUAAUUAAUUUCAUCGGACAUACUAUUAUGAAUACAAGUUUCUGUAGAAGCAUAUGCUGAAGGACCAAGACAUAUGAAAUUCUCAUUAUGCAAUUUACAUUUAAGGCAAAUAACUAAAAUAAGGGAUACACAGUAAUAGAACAAGAUAUAAUUUUUUAAAACUUCAGCUGUUUCUUCAGAGGAAAUUUUGAUAAUGCGAGAAAUGAAGGACUUCAAAAUAAAGGAGACUUAGAUAGCUCUCAAUAGUAAAUUACAUUCUCUCUGCCAAAUGCCAAGGGCAUAUCUAAAGUUUCUUACAUUGUAGCAGUAGAGAGAACAGGUAUACUCAUAUAGUAGUGGCAAGUUUUAACAUAAAUAAAUAUGAGCCAUUAUCUAGCAUUUACAAUGAUUUUUUUUAAUGUAUGCAAUGACAAAUGGCAAGUAAAAAGGCUAUUGUUUCUGAAAUAUAAUUCUUGAUUACUUCAUACCUCUAAGCUUCAACUUUGAUAGAGAUGGAAAAAUUUUUCUAACUCCCACAUCAGCCAUAUCAUAAAGAGUUAGUGGUUUCAAUUAAAACAUUACAGACUAGAUGCAGCCAGGUGGAACAACUCCCAAUGAAGGACCAAGACCACUGGCGUGCUCCUAACACGUCUUCGGAGGGAAGGCACAAAAGCUGGGCUGAAUGGGGAAAGCUAGGAAACUUGCAUGGGGCUACCACACGCCAGAACUCGUGAAAUAAUUGUUAAGUCACAAGUAAGGACAAGAAGAAGGAAACAGCUGUGGACAUAUUUGAGUUAACAAAAAACCUACCAAAGUUAUUUUUUGCAGGAACAAUGCAAAAUGUAGCUUGAUUGGGAGCUGUUUCAUGCACAGUGCAAUCAUCACUGCCUUUUUUCUUUGCUUUUUUUGUUUUUAUAACAGGCAUGUAUACACUCUUCUUUGGGACACAAGGAAUUAAUUAUUCACUGAGAAGUAAACAGGUUGUGAUUAAAGAAGAGUGCUAAAGGCACAAAUAGCAAGAUGCUUAGAGUCACUGUGAACUGAAGAUUUUUGGAGUAAAAGUCCAAUGCUCCAAGAUGGAUCAUAUGUAUUCAGAAGGUAUGUAUUAUAUCAUAUAAUUUUAAGUUUGUCUGUUUAGAAUAUAAAACAAAACCUCAGAGAUAAAAAUUUCCAGAAUGGAUAAACUAGUUUGUUCUUUGUAGAUUAAAAUAAAUCAUAUUAGUAUAUCAUUGGAUGAUAUGUACACAAUCUUCAUCUUAUCACACUAUAAAGUUAGUGAGCAGUCCAGAAGAUCAACCUCACUUCUGAUACUACCCGCAAGUUUGAUGAUUCCUGAGACCACCCUGAGUUGCAAUAAUUCACAAGAAGGAAUAAUAGAACUGAGUGAAAGCUGAUUUUAUCAUGAUUACAGUUUAUCAUAGUGGAAAAAUACAGAUUAAAAUCAACCAGGGUAAGAGAUGCAUGGAACAGUGUCCAUGAAAGUUUUGCUUCUAGUUGUCUUUUUCCAGUGGGGUCAGGGACAAUCCUAACUUUCUUGAUAGUAAAGGUGACAAUAUGCAUGAAAUAUUUGCAGCCAGAGAAGCUUACCCAAGCCUUGUUACACAGAGCUCUAUUGAGGCGCAAUCACAUAGAUAUAGUUGACGGAUUCUGUGGCUGACUUUAGCCUCCCCACCCUCCGGAUGUAGAGCAGAUACAACAUGGACCAAAUUUCCACUAUAAGUCACAUUGUUAGACUAUUGCUAUGGCCUAAGGCUUUCAGGAAAAGCAAAACAAAAGAUCAGGAUGAAUGUUUGUUAUAUUUUCAGUGUUUGGUGUAAUAUAUUUAAAAUAGUAAUAUUGCCAGUUUUAAUUUGAUUUAUAUUUAAG
Molecule: long non-coding RNA, 2028 nt
Organism: Callithrix jacchus (white-tufted-ear marmoset)
Lineage: Eukaryota; Metazoa; Chordata; Mammalia; Primates; Cebidae
Source: RefSeq, a predicted model, not a curated record